Salvia hispanica is the source of this 1522-nucleotide long non-coding RNA. RefSeq lists it as uncharacterized. The record is from RefSeq and is a predicted model, not a curated record. Lineage: Eukaryota; Viridiplantae; Streptophyta; Magnoliopsida; Lamiales; Lamiaceae.
UUCUCACCUGUCUUUCACUCAAUACAUAUCAUUGGGCCCAAUUAAUCACAAAACCCUUGAUUUUUGUAUAUACAACCGCCACCAACCGCUCGAUUGAUUUGAUUUCCUCUCUAAUUUUCUUAUAUUAACCCCUUUCUGUAAUUUUUCAGUUUAUUCUCUUCCUCCUUGAGCGUUCUUGCUUGGAAAAAGUCACCUCUUUUGUCCUAGUAGUAUAUUAUUGUUAAUAAAUUCGUGAAAUGAGUUCAAAUCUGGAUCGGACUUUAUCCAGAUUCGAAUUCGUACAUGAAUUUAUAAUAACAAUCGAAUUCAGGAGCUGUGAGUGUCGAGGGAACGAAUUCGCCACCGAAAUGACUUGAAUCGAGUGGCAGAGGCGAAGGUUGAUUCGGAAUUUAUGAAUGAGAGGUUUUACUGAGGUGCAGGAAGAAUGAAAAGAAAGAAUCAUGUAAAGAUGACUAGUUGAAAAUGAAACAUCAAGGCCAAGAAAGGAAUGUGGAAGAUGUGAAAAAUCAGGCAGGAAGUGGUUGCUGAUCUGGUUUGGGUUGGUGGGCGUGGUUGUGUUGCUGAUGCGGAAUGUUUUCGUCUCUAAGAACAGCAGCUGCAGAUACAUAAUAGGCGACCGCAAACAGUCCAUGAAUGAAACACAGGAUCCCUCCAAUAGACAGCUGCUGUUGAUGGCUCAUGCCGCAGUUCUUUCUUGUUUUCGAGUUGGACAACACUCCCGAUAUCAGCAGGAUGAAUGCAAUCCCCAACAUAAUCCUGUCAGAAUCCACCAUUAGUUUCAACAGUGUCUAGAAACACUGUGCUAAACAAUCUGAUAAUCAAAUACCAUGACAUCAUGAGGGAGGCAGCAGCGAGUUGCUUAUUAGGCGAAGCCCUGUCGAGUUCUUCUUUGGAGCUGAUGAAGACGCAUCCCGCCAGCAGAUUGGCUACAAUGUGUGCCAGGCACAGCAUCACCACCGCAGCCAGCCCAAAUUUGAAAGCCUCGUAGCUGGGAUCUCGGCACUCGAAUAUCCACACCCUCAGGUUUUGAGCCUAUACACAUCAAGCCAUAUGUUAAUGGUACUUAUUACAAUAAUUGAAAUGGGAGUGAGAUGGAAAGACGAACCUUGUUCUGAGCAACCUCGCCCUGUAUGCCGAGAACCCCGGCUAUGAUGUCCAGAGCCAUGAUGAGGAGACAUACGAGGAAAUCCAUGUUCUUGGCCAUGGCUGUCUCUUGAAAUUGAAUGGAUGUCGGAACUGUUUAGGUUUUGAGUAUAUAUUGUUGUUGAAUGUGGAGGAAUCAGAAUAAAGAGGAGGUGGAUUAGCUGGGUUUGAUUCUUGGAGUAGAAAAGGUGUCUUUUGUCUAACUUUAAUGGUGGGAUGGAUUCGUUUCAUGGCGAGGAAGAAAAGCAGUGCAUCUCCAGACUAGACCUGCAAACACCUUACUCCAUCUCCAUCUUCAUCUUCUUCUUCCUAUUCAUCCUUUAAACAUAGUACUAUUUCCUAUUAUUGAACAUAAUACAACAGUAUUUUCUCUUUGACA